This is a long non-coding RNA of Thalassophryne amazonica, 222 nucleotides long. RefSeq lists it as uncharacterized. NCBI's taxonomy places the organism in Eukaryota, Metazoa, Chordata, Actinopteri, Batrachoidiformes, Batrachoididae. The transcript has 4 exons. The record is from RefSeq and is a predicted model, not a curated record.
UUUUUGCCAUGUCCAACCUCGUAGUUCCCCCUGGUUUUAAAUGGAGCAGGAACUAGCACAGCCAUCUUCUGCCAGUUUAAAUAACAUUAAUGACAUUUGUGUGUCUAACAAGUAAAGAUUAUGUCUUGUAUAAAUAUUUACCCCUGUAUAUUGAAGUAAAUUAUGAUUAAAAAAAAUUGAAGAUAUAAUGGCUCAGUGUUGGACAGAACUGAUUAAAUGUCA